UGAGCAAUCUGCCCUUCUCAUCGGAAUAAGCGUUGGAAACGACGUCUAAUGCCGAAUACGACCUCCUUUCGCAUGAUCGGAGGUGGAAAGCUCCGGCGGAGAAGGAUGAGCUCGCGGCCCAUCAGCUAGUUGGUGUGGGUAAUGGCCCGCCAAGGCGACGACGGGUAGCCGGCCUGAGAGGGUGACCGGUCACACUGGGACUGAGACACGGCCCAGACUCCGUACGGGAGCAG
RNAcentral lists this ribosomal RNA (233 nucleotides) under uncultured bacterium. Its description in RNAcentral is "partial 16S ribosomal RNA". It matches the Rfam family "Bacterial small subunit ribosomal RNA", at positions 118 to 347 of the family's 1533-position model. The record is from RNAcentral.